Molecule: ribosomal RNA, 450 nt
Filed under: uncultured Glomeromycotina
Lineage: Eukaryota; Fungi; Glomeromycota
Description: SSU rRNA
Rfam family: Eukaryotic small subunit ribosomal RNA
Source: RNAcentral
AGCAGCCGCGGUAAUUCCAGCUCCAAUAGCGUAUAUUAAAGUUGUUGCAGUUAAAAGGCUCGUAGUUGAAUUUCGGGAUCAGCGCGUCGGUCGUGCCUCCGGUAUGCACUGGCGCCGCUGGUUUCUCCCUUCUGAGGAACCGUGAUGUCAUUAAUUUGGUGUUGCGGGAAAUCAGGACUGUUACUUUGAGAAAAUUAGAGUGUUUAAAGCGGGCACGCGCUUGAAUACAUUAGCAUGGAAUAACGAAAUAGGACGUUCGAUCUUAUUUUGUUGGUUUCUAGGAUUGACGUAAUGAUUAAUAGGGAUAGUUGGGGCAUUAGUAUUCAAUUGUCAGAGGUGAAAUUCUUGGAUUUAUUGAAGACUAACUACUGCGAAAGCAUUUGCCAAGGAUGUUUUCAUUAAUCAAGAACGAAAGUUAGGGAUCGAAGACGAUCAGAUACCGUCGUAGUC